This is a non-coding RNA of Pelobates cultripes (western spadefoot toad), 289 nucleotides long. NCBI's taxonomy places the organism in Eukaryota, Metazoa, Chordata, Amphibia, Anura, Pelobatidae. The record is from the annotation of a GenBank genome assembly.
AGCAGGAUUAAGGGAAAAAGGUAUACAUGUAGGGUAUCAUUGUACUCGAUUAAUUUCCCCAAACUAACGUGUGGGGGGAAAAAAACACAAACAUUUAACUAAUUUGACCUAGGUUUGUGAUAAAAUGAUUAAAAGAAGGGGCAGAGCCUAGCUUUCAGGCUGAAUGGACGUGCCAUCUAUCAGCUCCUGGCACAAAUCUUUAAAUCAAGGGGUAAAACCCCAGGAAAGUGGCAUGCACAUCGCCUGGAAGGGGACAGCGAAGAUGGGGGACACCCGGGGGAACAGAUAG